This 319-nucleotide long non-coding RNA is filed under the name Polistes fuscatus (common paper wasp). RNAcentral describes it as "uncharacterized LOC122518022". Lineage: Eukaryota; Metazoa; Arthropoda; Insecta; Hymenoptera; Vespidae. The record is from RNAcentral.
AAAACAUUUAGCCCAAAUGAACGUGAAUAUUAGUCUGAAGAAAUAAUUCAAAUCGAACGUAAAAUAAAUAACAAAAAGAAACGUUACGAGAAGAAAUUACGAAAAACAAAGCAUGACUUUCACGUGCCGUUGAUGGAACUAUACUGAUUGUUUCGAAUAUAGGCUUACAAACAACCAACCAAAUGAUUCAUUAUGUUAACAUAUUCAAAAAAAAAUGUGGCAUUGCGUAUUAGGCUAUUGCCUAACGAUGGGUUUUUGUAUCUUUUCGUUUAUAUCUUUUAUGAUGUUUAGGUGAUAAAUGUUAAUGGGAAUAACUAAU